Long non-coding RNA from Marmota monax (woodchuck), 2904 nucleotides. RefSeq lists it as uncharacterized. NCBI's taxonomy places the organism in Eukaryota, Metazoa, Chordata, Mammalia, Rodentia, Sciuridae. The transcript has 5 exons. The record is from RefSeq and is a predicted model, not a curated record.
GUAGGGCUGAUGAGGAAGGACAAAGGGAGGGGACGCGGGCAAUGGUGUCAGCUGCUAUUUCAGACUUGUUAACCUGACACUUAAAUGAACUACUACUGCUGCGUGGCGAUGCCAGGCCCUUCCCACGCCCUGCCUUCUCUCAUUCACUCAGCCAUUCUUCAGUGACUCUUUUAAGACGUCUUUAUUGAUUGUGCCAGACGCUGUUCUAAGUGAAAUGCGUGAAGCCCGUGGGAAUCAUGGAAGUGACAUUCUGGGAGGGAAUGUUACUUUCUGCUUUUUUACAGACCCUGCCCAGGAGGGACAGCAGGAGACAAUGCAUUCCUCAGGCCUGGAGCUGACCACUCUCAUAUACUGAGAUUCUCCACCUCAGGAGUUUGGAGAGACAAGGAUGUGGACCCUCUCCUCCAGGAUUCUGAUGAGGGGAACUGGGGGCUCUGGACAGAGUUCUAGGAUUCCAUGCAAGAUGCUGUUUGAAGAUCAACAGAGCCUUCUGCUAGAGGAAAUAACAGCAUGAGACGGCACAGGAGGCAGGAACCGCUUCAGAGCUGAGGAGCCUCUCCAUGCCUUGGUUUAUUCAUCUCUAAAAUGGAACAAUAGUAGAACUUGACUCUUAGGAAGUGUGAGGCCCUGGAUGAGCUACCGUGGGCUGCCCUGAAGGAGGCGUGGCACCAGCAAGAGCAGAAAGAAGAUGGUGGUCAUGGUUUCCAGGUGCUGGGGCUCGCUCGGGCCUGCACAGGGGAUGUCAUGAUUGAACCCAUGUUUAAUAGUUGCUCUCUGCUAGUGUAUUGGAGAAAGGAUUGGGGCAAGAGUGCUAAGACUAAACACAGAGAAAUUGUCAGAGGAAGUUAUUAUAUCCUUCUAUCUGCAAGAGGGCCAUAAGGCGAAGCAGCUGGAAUUAGAAAAGCUGCAACUAUUAAGGAGAUUUAGAAGGACUUGGUGACCAGAUGGCUGUGGGGAAGCCUCCGAGGAGAGUUGGGGACUCUGGCACCCUGUUUCAGGUUGGUCCAUUUGGCUGACUUUACUCUGGACUUCAGGAGCACCCCAGGCUCUAUACGCCUACCAUAGAGUUCAGAGCCGCUCUUGCUACCAGCAUCUUCCACCAGCUCCACAAGAGUUACUUGGCUUUUCUGAGCACAGAUGAAGACUCCUGGGAUAAAAAUGUUUGCCCUGGAAGAUAAAGACAUGGAAGGUAUUUUUUUUUCUUUUAAAGUCUGUGGAUAUCUGGCACACAUGGUUGUCUGGGUGCAUAUCAUGUGGGAUGGGUAGGCACCAGGACUGGAGGAGAGAGGAUUAAGCUCUUUGUGAUAUAUGUAUCCUCCCACCUCACAAUUCUGUGAAAAUGUCAGAUUUGGAAGUUUUGGUCCGAGAGAGGUUAGAGCAGCCACGUGCAGCUCUGAUUUCCCAGCCCAGGAUGCUGGAGUUGGUCCGUGUGCUCAUUUUCCAAACAUUGGGGAAAAGGACCUCUCUCUGCUGCUACCAGUGUCCCUGCAGAAAAUGCCUGACAAGACAGAGGAUCCCCCUUGCUUUGGUGGGUAUAAGACGAGCAUGCUCUUGAACUUUCAUGAACCCCAACAGGAGAAUCAGCCUUCUGUUUAAUUAGAUGUGGGCAUUGGGAAAAUGCAAAUGUUGGCUUUGGAGUUAAACUGACUUGAGUCUUGACAGGAAUCCAGCCUCCUUGGCUUGCAGGCGCUCCACCUUAUUAAAUGUGCCUUGCUGUCUAUCUCCGUGAGUUUUAUUGAUGGUCCACAUGUACAUGAAAAGACUCCAGGAUCGGAAGGACCAUCCUUCAUGCGGCGGCUGCAGAUUGACUCAAACUCUCACAUACUAAGCACGGAAUCAGUCACUCAGUGCCUUACUUCAUGGCAUCUCCCAGGGGCAAACUUGGGAGAUGCAGCAGUAACCAUAGGUUAUCCAAGUGAAUGAAAUGCGCCACAGAACGAGCGGCUGACAGUGCAGAUGUUUCCCUCUGCCAAGCAACCUGGUUGAUCUCAGCUGUGGCCCAUGGUUCAGCCAUGAGCUGUCUCUGAUAGGUGCAUUUUAAGCCACAAGGUGAUCGAUGGCGAUGGUGUCCACAUGGAAUUGGACAGCCCUGAAGCAGAAGAGCCGAUGAUGGAGACUCAUUACCUGGGAAAAAGUGCUCUGUCUUUCAGGAAGAGGAAUAAAAAAGUCCGUCAGCAGCUUUCUCAGGCUCUUUAAGAAUCACGCCGCAGCCCCAGGGAACAGACGAGCCCUUCAGUGCCUGACGCACCAAUUCCCCCUUCAAACCUUUACCCAUGAAGAUCCUUCACACGGUAUCAUUUUCUCUAAAUGUUUCUACAUCUCAAAUAUAUAAAUCUUCCCAGAGACAGACUUGCGUGUCAUUCAUCAUAUUGUUAAGAUGAUGAUGAUUAUGGGGUAAAUUAAGGACCAUAAUCAUAAACCUUAGAUAUUUACAAAUCACUGCUUUAUAGCUCUGUAAAAUUCUCCUCAAACUCUAUUUGAAUGCCUUUUUAAAAGUAAUGUUCUGGUACAAACCGGGGUUUUUGGAGCAGUGGUUAACUGAGAGCCCUUGGGGUCAGAAGAGAGGCUUCUAGGGCGCUUGUUGCUAUGGGGACGGGCAAAGCCAACUUCUGCUUCCUCCUGCAGACUUACCACAGUCAUGCACCGCCAUGCACCGGCUUAACGACGGGAUGAGUUCUGAGAAAUGUGCUGUUAGGCGAUUUUGUCAUUGUGUGAAUGUCACGGAGUGUACUUACACAAACGCAGAUGGUCCAGGUCAGUCGCUCAGGACGACCUUUGGAUGCAGUCAGGAGAUGCAGUAAACACAAGACCAGGGUCACAGGCAUGUUGCUUUACUGUACACUUUUUUUUUUUUUAAGAACAGAAGGAGUACACUCUUAAAAAAAUAAUUAAAAGUCUAGUAUA